Molecule: small nucleolar RNA, 107 nt
Filed under: Phaseolus vulgaris (common bean)
Lineage: Eukaryota; Viridiplantae; Streptophyta; Magnoliopsida; Fabales; Fabaceae
Description: Plant small nucleolar RNA R71
Rfam family: Plant small nucleolar RNA R71
About the family: R71 is a member of the C/D box family of snoRNAs containing the C (UGAUGA) and D (CUGA) box motifs.
Source: Rfam by way of RNAcentral
AACCCAUGAUUUGGGCAUUUUCUCAAUAUCUUUUUAAAUAUUUCUCAUGUCUCACAAAAGACUUCAUCCACCCUUUUUUCUGAACAUAGAGAUUUUAGACUUGGCUU